RNAcentral lists this transfer RNA (80 nucleotides) under Homarus americanus (American lobster). RNAcentral's name for it is "tRNA-Ser". It matches the Rfam family "tRNA". Rfam says of the family: Transfer RNA (tRNA) molecules are approximately 80 nucleotides in length. Lineage: Eukaryota; Metazoa; Arthropoda; Malacostraca; Decapoda; Nephropidae. The record is from Rfam by way of RNAcentral.
GCAGUGAUGGCCGAGUGGUUAAGGCGUCUGACUAGAAAUCAGAUGGGAUCUUCGCGUGAGUUCGAAUCCUACUCACUGCG